Molecule: transfer RNA, 84 nt
Filed under: Alphaproteobacteria bacterium
Lineage: Bacteria; Pseudomonadati; Pseudomonadota; Alphaproteobacteria
Description: tRNA-Arg
Source: RNAcentral
CGACCCAUCGCCUGACUGAUAUUGUUAGGGUAGCGCCUGAAUCCGAAUCAGGAGGUUGGGAGUUCGAGUCUUCCCGGGCGGCCA